Molecule: non-coding RNA, 93 nt
Organism: Hypoxylon sp. FL0890
Lineage: Eukaryota; Fungi; Ascomycota; Sordariomycetes; Xylariales; Hypoxylaceae
Source: the annotation of a GenBank genome assembly
GGUCUGAUGGUCUAGUGGUAGGAUUCUCGCUUUGGGUUGGGCUUUCUCAGUCGUAAAUGCGAGAGGUCCCGGGUUCGAUCCCCGGUCAGACCC